Nyctereutes procyonoides (raccoon dog) is the source of this 212-nucleotide small nucleolar RNA. RefSeq annotates it as small nucleolar RNA U3. NCBI's taxonomy places the organism in Eukaryota, Metazoa, Chordata, Mammalia, Carnivora, Canidae. The record is from RefSeq and is a predicted model, not a curated record. The transcript has a single exon.
UGGACUGUUACAGAGGAAAGUCAGGGCCAUGCUGUUCAGAUAUCGUUGAAAGAUAUCUUUUUGAAAGAAAGGAUCACAAGGAGGAGGCUCAGUGUUCUCUCCUGAGCAUGAAGCUGUCUUUAGAUGUUGCUUCUGCAAAUGCCUAUUGACAUUGAUGAUUGUACUUUUCCUCCUUUGGAGGAGUAAGAGGAAGAGGAGACAGUCUGAGUGGU